GCUGACACAUCCCUGCCAAUCUCCGGCAGACCCUCCCUCCCAGACCCUCCUACUUCCUGGACAGCAUCCAUGUUGAAGCUGUCUUCAACAUGGAUGCUGUCCAGGAGGUGGGAGGGUCUGGGAGGGAGGGUCUGCCGGAGAUUGGCAGGGAUAUGUCAG
RNAcentral lists this microRNA precursor (159 nucleotides) under Pelobates cultripes (western spadefoot toad). Lineage: Eukaryota; Metazoa; Chordata; Amphibia; Anura; Pelobatidae. The record is from RNAcentral.